AAAUUGCAGGACUACCUUGACAAGGUACGAACUAUUGUAAAACCAGGGUGUUCACAGGAGGUUCUGAAAGCUGCUUUGAGUGUCAUGGCUUCUGUGACAGAUGUACUUUCUGCAAUGUCUUCAACUUCGAUCAAUAACGAUGCACGCCUUUAAGCGCAGAAAUUACAUGUUCUUGAACUAACUUGGUGCCAUUGCAUUAGUGUCAGAAUUCUAUCAUUUGGCACAUCGUUUCCUUUUUGUUGUUUUGUAUCAUGAACUGUAGCUGCCGACUAGUUAGAGGAUUGCAAUAAGCUGAAUUUUGCCUUUUUUUUUUUUUGGAAAAAAAAAAAUUUAAAUUUACAUUGCUCUCGUGUGAUAAUAGCGUGAGGAUUUGCUGAGUUGAAAUUUUGUUUAUGCUGGUUUGAACAAGGGACGUGCAUAUAAUCGAAGCAGUAUGUUUCCAAUUAGAUGCAGCAAGUUUUAACGAUAUAGCUUGUUUCGUAGUUCAUAUCUGACUUGGGCAUACGUCUGCCCUAAACGAUAUAAGAUUACUUUUAUGGAUUGAAUUUACCCUUUUUCGAUUGGAGUGAUUCU
This 573-nucleotide unclassified non-coding RNA is filed under the name Hevea brasiliensis (rubber tree). Lineage: Eukaryota; Viridiplantae; Streptophyta; Magnoliopsida; Malpighiales; Euphorbiaceae. The record is from RNAcentral.